GAUGAACGCUGGCGGCGUGCCUAAUACAUGCAAGUCGAGCGAACAGACGAGGAGCUUGCUCCUCUGACGUUAGCGGCGGACGGGUGAGUAACACGUGGAUAACCUACCUAUAAGACUGGGAUAACUUCGGGAAACCGGAGCUAAUACCGGAUAAUAUAUUGAACCGCAUGGUUCAAUAGUGAAAUACGGUUUUGCUGUCACUUAUAGAUGGAUCCGCGCCGCAUUAGCUAGUUGGUAAGGUAACGGCUUACGAAGGCAACGAUGCGUAGCCGACCUGAGAGGGGGAUCGGCCACACUGGAACUGAGACACGGUCCAGACUCCUACGGGAGGCAGCAGUAGGGAAUCUUCCGCAGUGGGCGAAAGCCUGACGGAGCAACGCCGAGUGAGUGAUGAAGGUCUUCGGAUCGUAAAACUCUGUUAUUAGGGAAGAACAAAUGUGUAAGUAACUAUGCACGUCUUGACGGUACCUAAUCAGAAAGCCACGGCUAACUACGUG
This 497-nucleotide ribosomal RNA is filed under the name uncultured bacterium. RNAcentral describes it as "partial 16S ribosomal RNA". It matches the Rfam family "Bacterial small subunit ribosomal RNA", at positions 28 to 507 of the family's 1533-position model. The record is from RNAcentral.